RNAcentral lists this ribosomal RNA (488 nucleotides) under marine sediment bacterium ISA-6183. Its description in RNAcentral is "bacterial SSU rRNA". It matches the Rfam family "Bacterial small subunit ribosomal RNA", at positions 37 to 507 of the family's 1533-position model. The record is from RNAcentral.
UGGCGGCGUGCCUAAUACAUGCAAGUCGAGCGGAUUGAUGGGAGCUUGCUCCCUGAUAUCAGCGGCGGACGGGUGAGUAACACGUGGGUAACCUGCCUGUAAGACUGGGAUAACUCCGGGAAACCGGGGCUAAUACCGGAUAACUCAUUUCCUCGCAUGAGGAAAUGUUGAAAGAUGGCUUCGGCUAUCACUUACAGAUGGACCCGCGGCGCAUUAGCUAGUUGGUGAGGUAACGGCUCACCAAGGCAACGAUGCGUAGCCGACCUGAGAGGGUGAUCGGCCACACUGGGACUGAGACACGGCCCAGACUCCUACGGGAGGCAGCAGUAGGGAAUCUUCCGCAAUGGACGAAAGUCUGACGGAGCAACGCCGCGUGAGUGAUGAAGGUUUUCGGAUCGUAAAGCUCUGUUGUUAGGGAAGAACAAGUGCCGUUCGAAUAGGGCGGCACCUUGACGGUACCUAACCAGAAAGCCACGGCUAACUACGUG